This 465-nucleotide ribosomal RNA is filed under the name uncultured bacterium. RNAcentral's name for it is "partial 16S ribosomal RNA". It matches the Rfam family "Bacterial small subunit ribosomal RNA", at positions 338 to 795 of the family's 1533-position model. The record is from RNAcentral.
CCUACGGGGGGCUGCAGUGGGGAAUGUUGGACAAUGGGCGCAAGCCUGAUCCAGCUAUUCCGCGUGUGGGAUGACGGCCCUCGGGUUGUAAACCACUUUAGUAGAGAACGAAAAGGAGCUAUCGAAUAAAUAGCCCUGCUGACGGUACUCUAAGAAUAAGCACCGGCUAACUACGUGCCAGCAGCCGCGGUAAUACGUAGGGGGCGAGCGUUAAUCGGAAUUACUGGGCGGAAAGGGUGUGAAGGCGGCUGAGGAAGACAGAUGUGAAAUCCACUGGCUUAACCUGGGAACCGCAGAUGUGACUGCUUAGCGAGAGUGCGUCAGAGGGAGGUGGAAUUCCAGGUGUAGCAGGGAAAUGCGUAGAUAUGUGGAAGAACACCGAUGGCGAAGGCAGCCUCCUGGGACGCAACUGACGCUCAUGCACGAAAGCGUGGGGAGCAAACAGGAUUAGAUACCCGGGUAGUC